Molecule: ribosomal RNA, 1260 nt
Filed under: Triticum aestivum (bread wheat)
Lineage: Eukaryota; Viridiplantae; Streptophyta; Magnoliopsida; Poales; Poaceae
Description: partial small subunit ribosomal RNA
Source: RNAcentral
AUGGAGAUUCAACUCCGCGUGAUGUUUGAUGAUAUCUAUACUAAGGCCAUGGUGCUUCGGAAGUGGCAUUGCACCAUCCUUCGGUGCAUCUCACAUCUUUCCUUUCUAGCCGCUUUUGUGCUCUUUUCUUCUGUAAUAAGAUACAAAGAGGAGAGGUGGUACUACAGUUCUGUUGACACUGCAAUCACCUAUGGAUUGUUUUUCGGCGGUUUCUCUCUUGAAGUUUCCUCAUUAUGUGUCAUCAUGAUGUCACCUUGGACCCGGGCAUGGCUGAAGGAAAAGACUCGGCAUUGCACCUUCCUUUGUUCCAUCAUCACUAAGUUGUUUAGAAGGAAAAGAUGGUCAAGCUGCAUGGGUCAGUACACCAUGUUAAACUAUUUGCUGCGGUCUGAACGGCCGUCUGCCGUCUUUGCUCCAUGGGACAUCACUUGGUGGUCAAAAAGUUCCCUGAUCGUGAUCAGAAAAUUGGUGCACGCAUUGUGGGGAGCACAGGCACCGUUGUCGAUCAGUAGGAAGGUGGACACAAGGUUCGUGAUGGUGGAUGAGCAGAUCAUGAGAUGCGUCGUCCAGAAGAUUGAUCAGUAUCUCCGCUAUGAUGGAUCAAGUAGCCCCCAGCAGCACUGGCCAAAUCUAGGUACAGUGCUACAGAAGAUAGUGCAGGAUCAUGGUCCCAAUUUUGAUCAUCUCUCCAUUAUCAAGCUCCAUUUAUACACAGAGAUACAGCUGAGUAGGUAUGUAUGCACUGACACUGCUGUGGACAAUGAUGCUGAUCUGGUCCGGAGGAUAUCACACUAUAUGGUUUAUCUUUUGGUGAAUCUCCCUGAAGUGCUGCCAAUCUACGAUAGCGGCGAAAGUGGCCGUGAUUCAAUAUUACAGCUGUAUGAAACCUUGGCGGGUAGGCAUGUUGAUGAAAGUGGCAGUGAGUCAAUAGCACAGCUCAAUGAAACCUUGGAGGGUAGGCAUGUUGAUGCCCCCCUGCAUCGGACAAUUUUGUUUCUUACAAAAAAUGAAAUUCCGGAGCCCCCGGCCGAGUGCACAGAAGCGCAGCUGUCAGAGCUCCGAGAGGCGUGGGUAGGCCUGCUCCUCCACGCCGCCAGCAAGUCGCGGCCGGAGGAGCAUGCGGCGCAGCUAGCCAGAGGGGGGGAGCUCCUUACCUUCAUCUGGCUGCUCAUGGCCCACUACGGACUUGGGGAUGUGAUAGACUGCCCCAUCGAGAUGACGGCUGAGGCACCUGUUGGUCAGCGCCGCUACGCCUUCUGA